This 318-nucleotide ribosomal RNA is filed under the name uncultured archaeon. Its description in RNAcentral is "bacterial SSU rRNA". It matches the Rfam family "Archaeal small subunit ribosomal RNA", at positions 322 to 644 of the family's 1478-position model. The record is from RNAcentral.
CCUACGGGGCGCAGCAGGCGCGAAAACUUUACAAUGCGAGAAAUCGUGAUAAGGGAACCCCGAGUGCCCGUAAAUCCGGGCUGUCCGCCAGUGUAAAUAACUGGUGAAGAAAGGGCCGGGCAAGACCGGUGCCAGCCGCCGCGGUAAUACCGGCGGCUCGAGUGGUGGCCGCUAUUACUGGGCUUAAAGCGUUCGUAGCUGGGCUGUUAAGUCCCCUGGGAAAUCCACCGGCUCAACCGAUGGGCGUUCAGGGGAUACUGGCAGCCUAGGGACCGGGAGAGGUGAGGGGUACUCCAGGGGUAGGAGUGAAAUCCUGUA